GAAAUAAAUUUAAUUUAGAUUUCUAAUCUAAAAUUUAAUGAAAAUUCAUUAUUAUUUCU
Molecule: transfer RNA, 59 nt
Filed under: Idris sp. MM-2013
Lineage: Eukaryota; Metazoa; Arthropoda; Insecta; Hymenoptera; Scelionidae
Description: tRNA-Ser
Source: RNAcentral